Molecule: ribosomal RNA, 1346 nt
Filed under: uncultured bacterium
Lineage: Bacteria
Description: partial 16S ribosomal RNA
Rfam family: Bacterial small subunit ribosomal RNA
Source: RNAcentral
GACGAACGCUGGCGGCGUGCUUAACACAUGCAAGUCGAACGGAAAGGCCCUGCUUUUGUGGGGUGCUCGAGUGGCGAACGGGUGAGUAACACGUGAGUAACCUGCCCUUGACUUUGGGAUAACUUCAGGAAACUGGGGCUAAUACCGGAUAGGAGCUCCUGCUGCAUGGUGGGGGUUGGAAAGUUUCGGCGGUUGGGGAUGGACUCGCGGCUUAUCAGCUUGUUGGUGGGGUAGUGGCUUACCAAGGCUUUGACGGGUAGCCGGCCUGAGAGGGUGACCGGCCACAUUGGGACUGAGAUACGGCCCAGACUCCUACGGGAGGCAGCAGUGGGGAAUAUUGCACAAUGGGCGGAAGCCUGAUGCAGCAACGCCGCGUGCGGGAUGACGGCCUUCGGGUUGUAAACCGCUUUCGCCUGUGACGAAGCGUGAGUGACGGUAAUGGGUAAAGAAGCACCGGCUAACUACGUGCCAGCAGCCGCGGUGAUACGUAGGGUGCGAGCGUUGUCCGGAUUUAUUGGGCGUAAAGGGCUCGUAGGUGGUUGAUCGCGUCGGAAGUGUAAUCUUGGGGCUUAACCCUGAGCGUGCUUUCGAUACGGGUUGACUUGAGGAAGGUAGGGGAGAAUGGGAUUCCUGGUGGAGCGGUGGAAUGCGCAGAUAUCAGGAGGAACACCAGUGGCGAAGGCGGUUCUCUGGGCCUUUCCUGACGCUGAGGAGCGAAAGCGUGGGGAGCGAACAGGCUUAGAUACCCUGGUAGUCCACGCUGUAAACGGUGGGUACUAGGUGUGGGGUCCAUUCCACGGGUUCCGUGCCGUAGCUAACGCUUUAAGUACCCCGCCUGGGGAGUACGGCCGCAAGGCUAAAACUCAAAGGAAUUGACGGGGCCCCGCACAAGCGGCGGAGCAUGCGGAUUAAUUCGAUGCAACGCGUAGAACCUUACCUGGGUUUGACAUGGAUCGGGAGUGCUCAGAGAUGGGUGUGCCUCUUUUGGGGUCGGUUCACAGGUGGUGCAUGGCUGUCGUCAGCUCGUGUCGUGAGAUGUUGGGUUAAGUCCCGCAACGAGCGCAACCCUUGUUCACUGUUGCCAGCACGUUAUGGUGGGGACUCAGUGGAGACCGCCGGGGUCAACUCGGAGGAAGGUGGGGAUGACGUCAAGUCAUCAUGCCCCUUAUGUCCAGGGCUUCACGCAUGCUACAAUGGCUGGUACAGAGAGUGGCGAGCCUGUGAGGGUGAGCGAAUCUCGGAAAGCCGGUCUCAGUUCGGAUUGGGGUCUGCAACUCGACCUCAUGAAGUCGGAGUCGCUAGUAAUCGCAGAUCAGCAACGCUGCGGUGAAUACGUUCCCGGGGCU